GAUGAACGCUGGCUACAGGCUUAACACAUGCAAGUCGAGGGGAAACGCCGGGGAAGCUUGCUUCCCCGGGCGUCGACCGGCGCACGGGUGAGUAACGCGUAUCCAACCUGCCUCUGACUGAGGGAUAACCCGUCGAAAGUCGGCCUAAUACCUCAUGGUAUCGUCUGCGGGCAUCCAACGACGAUUAAAGAUUUCAUCGGUCAGGGAUGGGGAUGCGUCUGAUUAGCUUGUUGGCGGGGUAACGGCCCACCAAGGCUACGAUCAGUAGGGGUCUGAGAGGAAGGUCCCCCACAUUGGAACUGAGACACGGUCCAAACUCCUACGGGAGGCAGCAGUGAGGAAUAUUGGUCAAUGGGCGAGAGCCUGAACCAGCCAAGUAGCGUGCAGGAAGACGGCCCUAUGGGUUGUAAACUGCUUUUAUGCGGGGAUAAAGUGAGGGACGGGUCCCUCAUUGCAGGUACCGCAUGAAUAAGGACCGGCUAAUUCCGUG
This 490-nucleotide ribosomal RNA is filed under the name uncultured bacterium. RNAcentral describes it as "partial 16S ribosomal RNA". It matches the Rfam family "Bacterial small subunit ribosomal RNA", at positions 28 to 507 of the family's 1533-position model. The record is from RNAcentral.